GGAGAGGUGGCCGAGUGGUCGAAGGCGCUCCCCUGCUAAGGGAGUAAGCGGUCAAAAGCCGCUUCGAGGGUUCGAAUCCCUUCCUCUCCG
RNAcentral lists this transfer RNA (90 nucleotides) under Amphiplicatus metriothermophilus. It matches the Rfam family "tRNA". From Rfam's summary of the family: Transfer RNA (tRNA) molecules are approximately 80 nucleotides in length. The record is from Rfam by way of RNAcentral. Lineage: Bacteria; Pseudomonadati; Pseudomonadota; Alphaproteobacteria; Parvularculales; Parvularculaceae.